Molecule: small nuclear RNA, 102 nt
Organism: Manis javanica (Malayan pangolin)
Lineage: Eukaryota; Metazoa; Chordata; Mammalia; Pholidota; Manidae
Source: RefSeq, a predicted model, not a curated record
UUGCUUCAGCAGCACAUAUACUAAAAUUGGAACCAUACGGUGAAGAUUAGCAUGUCUCUGCGCAAGGAUGACAUGCAAAUUUGUGAAGUGCUCCAUAUAUAU